GGAGAUGUAGCUCAGUGGUAGAGCACUUGCCUAGCACCCAAGAAGUUCUGGGUUCAAUCCCCUGUCCU
Molecule: transfer RNA, 68 nt
Filed under: Ictidomys tridecemlineatus (thirteen-lined ground squirrel)
Lineage: Eukaryota; Metazoa; Chordata; Mammalia; Rodentia; Sciuridae
Description: Spermophilus tridecemlineatus (thirteen-lined ground squirrel) tRNA
Rfam family: tRNA
About the family: Transfer RNA (tRNA) molecules are approximately 80 nucleotides in length.
Source: Rfam by way of RNAcentral